AGUUUUCACAAUAAGGAUACAGAGCCCCCUCUUCUAAUUAUAAGUUGAAGAAAUUUGUAGACAGAAUCGAACCUUAAAUAAUCUGGCCACCACUGAGCGA
Molecule: small nucleolar RNA, 100 nt
Organism: Vicia villosa (hairy vetch)
Lineage: Eukaryota; Viridiplantae; Streptophyta; Magnoliopsida; Fabales; Fabaceae
Product: small nucleolar RNA R30/Z108
Exons: 1
Source: RefSeq, a predicted model, not a curated record